AUGGAGGUGUCCAAGCAGGCGUCCUGGCCCGACGACUUCCUCUGCCCCAUCUCGCUCGAGCUCAUGACGGACCCCGUCAUCCUCCCCUCCGGCCACACCUUCGAGCGCCGCAGCAUCCAGCGCUGGCUCGACGGGGGCCACCGAACCUGCCCCGUCACCAACCUGCUUCUCCCCCCUGACCCCACGCUCAUCCCCAACCACGCGCUGCGCCGCCUCAUAGCGGCCGUUUCCGUUUCGCCGGCGGCCGUGUCCGCGGACAAGGGGGACUGCCAGGGGCAAGGGGUGGCGCCGGUGUCGUCCUCCUCCGUCUUGGGGAUGCUCAGGCUGGCCAAGUCUGGGCCGGCCGGGCGGAGGGAGGUGCUGGAGUCCGGCGCGGUCGCGGUGCUGCUCCAGCACGCGGCCGCGGGGGACGAGGCGGCCGCUAGGGCGCUCCUGUAUCUCAGCCUCGACGGCGACGACGCGCGCGUGGGCCUCGUGGCGGACGGCGCCGUCGACGCGCUCUGCGCGGCCGUGUCCGGCGGCGGCGCGGCCGCUGCCCACGCGGCUACGGCGCUGACGAGCCUCGCCACUGUGGGCGUCAACAAGUGCACCAUCGGGGCGCAUCCCUCUGCCGUCCCGGCGCUGUCCAGGCUGCUCUGGCGCGGCGGCGCGCGGGAGCGCCGCGAGGCCGCGACAACCCUGUACGAGCUCUGCAAGCUGCCCGAGAACCGCCGGCGCACGGUGCGCGCCGGGGCCGCGCCGGCGCUCGUCGAGCUGGCCGCCAAUGGCUCUGCCCGCGCCGUCGAGGUGCUCGGUCUCCUGGCCAAGAACCGCGAGGGCCGCCACGACCUGUCCAAAAUCCCAGACAUCGUGGCCGUGCUCUGCACUGUGGCCGGCAGCGGCAACGCCCGUGCAAUCGACCAGGCCCUGGUCGUCCUCAACUGGAUUUGCUCCGAGAGCAACGAAUUGGCAAUGGAGGCAAUAAAGCUGGGAGCUUUCCAGCUCUGUGAGGCUCUGGUGAACGACGACAACUGCAAGAUUGCCAAGAACGCCGUGGAAUUAGCCCGGACACUCGAGAAAGCUUAG
This 1065-nucleotide ribosomal RNA is filed under the name Triticum aestivum (bread wheat). RNAcentral describes it as "partial small subunit ribosomal RNA". Lineage: Eukaryota; Viridiplantae; Streptophyta; Magnoliopsida; Poales; Poaceae. The record is from RNAcentral.